GGUAGCAUAAUCAUUUGUCUUUUAAUUGAAGGCUAGUAUGAAUGGUUGGACGAAAAAUAUACUUUCUUUAUUUUAUAUAAAUAAAUUAAUUUUUUAGUUAAAAAGCUAAGAUUUUUUUAUAGGACGAGAAGCCCCUAUAGAACUUUAUUUUCUACAUAUAUAUAUUUUAUAGAUUUUUAAAAUAUUAUAUAUUAAUAGUUAAUUUAAUUGGGGUGAUUGAAAAAAUUAUAUAACUUUUUCUAUUUNUAUCAUUUAUUUAUGAUGUUUUUGAUCCUUUAAUAUGGAAAAUAAGAUUAAGUUACCUUA
This 306-nucleotide ribosomal RNA is filed under the name Pinalitus oromii. RNAcentral describes it as "partial 16S ribosomal RNA". Lineage: Eukaryota; Metazoa; Arthropoda; Insecta; Hemiptera; Miridae. The record is from RNAcentral.